GCGAGUGUAGUUCAAUGGUAGAACGAGAGCUUCCCAAGCUCUAUACGAGGGUUCGAUUCCUUUCACUCGCUCCA
Molecule: transfer RNA, 74 nt
Filed under: Candidatus Symbiopectobacterium sp. PLON1
Lineage: Bacteria; Pseudomonadati; Pseudomonadota; Gammaproteobacteria; Enterobacterales; Enterobacteriaceae
Also listed under: 1 other name
Description: tRNA-Gly
Rfam family: tRNA
About the family: Transfer RNA (tRNA) molecules are approximately 80 nucleotides in length.
Source: RNAcentral